UAGGGAAUCUUCCACAAUGGGCGCACGCCUGAUGGAGCAACACCGCGUGAGUGAAGAAGGGUUUCGGCUCGUAAAGCUCUGUUGUUAAAGAAGGACACGUAUGAGAGUAACUGUUCAUACGUUGACGGUAUUUAACCAGAAAGUCACGGCUAACUACGUGCCAG
RNAcentral lists this ribosomal RNA (164 nucleotides) under uncultured bacterium. RNAcentral describes it as "partial 16S rRNA". It matches the Rfam family "Bacterial small subunit ribosomal RNA", at positions 355 to 511 of the family's 1533-position model. The record is from RNAcentral.